Molecule: ribosomal RNA, 374 nt
Filed under: uncultured bacterium
Lineage: Bacteria
Description: bacterial SSU rRNA
Rfam family: Bacterial small subunit ribosomal RNA
Source: RNAcentral
ACUCCUACGGGAGGCAGCAGUGGGGAAUAUUGCACAAUGGGGGAAACCCUGAUGCAGCCAUGCCGCGUGUGUGAAGAAGGCCUUGGUUGUAAAGCACUUUCAGUAGGAGGAAGGUAGUGUAGUUAACACCUGCCAUUAUUUGUACGUUACCUACAGAAGAAGCACCGGCUAACUCCGUGCCAGCAGCCGCGGUAAUACGGAGGGUGCGAGCGUUAAUCGGAAUUACUGGGCGUAAAGCGCAUGCAGGCGGCCUGUUAAGUCAGAUGUGAAAGCCCGGGGCUUAACCUCGGAAUUGCAUUUGAAACUGGCAGGCUAGAGUCUUGUAAGAGGGGUUAGAAUUUCAGGUGUAGCGGUGAAAUGCGUAGAGAUCUGAA